UACGGAGGAUGCAAGCGUUAUCCGGAAUGAUUGGGCGUAAAGCGUCCGCAGGUGGCUAUGUAAGUCUGCUGUUAAAGAGUGAGGUUCAACCUCAUAAGAGCAGUGGAAACUACAUGGCUAGAGUGCGUUCGGGGCAGAGGGAAUUCCUGGUGUAGCGGUGAAAUGCGUAGAGAUCAGGAAGAACACCGGUGGCGAAAGCGCUCUGCUAGGCCGCAACUGACACUGAGGGACGAAAGCUAGGGGAGCGAAUGGG
RNAcentral lists this ribosomal RNA (253 nucleotides) under uncultured bacterium. RNAcentral's name for it is "partial 16S ribosomal RNA". It matches the Rfam family "Bacterial small subunit ribosomal RNA", at positions 524 to 776 of the family's 1533-position model. The record is from RNAcentral.